Mirounga angustirostris (Northern elephant seal) is the source of this 1553-nucleotide long non-coding RNA. RefSeq lists it as uncharacterized. The transcript has 3 exons. The record is from RefSeq and is a predicted model, not a curated record. Lineage: Eukaryota; Metazoa; Chordata; Mammalia; Carnivora; Phocidae.
UUCAUUACCUCCGCGUAUAAAAAUGACUGCUGGCGAAUGCAAAUGGCUCGCCCGUCUCAGCCGCCUGCCUCCGCUCUGCCGCCGGCUGCGGGCGGAGGCCCCGGGAGCCGCCGCCGCCCGACCUGACGAACGGCCCGCGGCGGGGCCGGCUCCUCCUCCCGCGCCCCCGCGCCCCCGCGCCGCCGGGACCCGGGACCCCCGCCCGACGCCGGCUCCUCCUCCCGCGCCCCCGCGCCGCCGGGACCCGGGACCCCCGCCCGACGCCGGCUCCGAGGGCCGCGGGGGAGGCCGUUUGGGAAGAGAAACGGGGGCGGGGGCGGCCGAGAACUGCAGAUCUGCUAAGAUGUGCUCGUGCUUGGGAAACCACCUAACUUUAUGAUUGAAAUUAAUGUUUCCAUUCGACUGCAAAUGCUGGAGCUCAACACACAUGGCAGCAGAGUGAACACAAGCCCCUUCGGCUUCUUCAGCCAGGGAAACGCCGGUUCAUCAAGGCAAACUUGUGAAUGGCGUCUUCUACGGAGUACUUCGUCUGCCCAGAAACGCAAGCCUCGAUGUCCUCCGAAUUCAGAUGGCUCUGCAGGAAGAGGUGGAGACAGCUAUCUGAGAGCAGGAGUGCGUUCUGGAGGACCCUGUGUGAGAGGAAAAGGGAGAAAUGAUCAGUGGUUGGGGAUGGACAAUUAGAGGGUGAGGAGAGAGCAACACGUUAGAAGGGGGGCCACCAAAGUCCUCUCUCCACUGGGCAAACUUUGCAUCAAUGAAAGACUUUACCUAUUGAAAGGAUCAAAGCAUAUGUUAACUUUUUAUUCAAUUAUUUGGAAAUUUAGGUGAGUAAAAACAUGGAGCUAAUAGUUAAGAACAUCUGUUAAAAGAAUAACUUCAAGGACAUUUCUUCAAUUUAACCAUCUGUUAUGACCAUGUGGAUUAAUUAUGGAAAGAUUUUGCUUAUGGUCAUAGAAAUGUGUGCUACUCAAAAAAAUUUUUUUACUGCCAACCAGCAGGUCGAUUCUGUGAUCUUUUUGGCAAACUGUCAUGAAACAUCAAAACUUUCAACGACUAUUAAAAAUUGUAUUAAAAAGCCAAUAUGUCUCUCAGCAUGUUUUACAUUUUAAAACUUUACAAGUGUGCUUAUGUACAUGUUUACAAGGGCUGGGUUGAGAGCUGGCUUUUUUGGAAAACCUAAGAUGGACUAGAAAUCUCUCCAUAAUCUUCCAUGGCACUGUGUUUCUAGUUGUUAAAAUAAGCCACCAAAUAAAAUUACUCCAAUGAUUUUACCAUAUAUACACUUAAAAUACGAUAAUUUUGUGCUAAGUACAUUCUAGCCUUCCUACAUUCAAGGUCAAAGUUUACAAAGACAGUACAGAUUUCAACCAGGGCAUCAGAACUACAUGGAAAACUAAAAAACAACUCCAACAAUUCUGUACCUGCUCAAAUUCAUAUUAUCACCGAAUGUUUUUUUUUUUUUUUUUCUGAAAUGCAUGUUUCAGAACAGGAAAUUAAGCCAAAGUACACCCUUAUUUUUAAAUAAAAACUGGUUUUACCUUUUUAGGAAAGAU